Non-coding RNA from Planktothrix serta PCC 8927, 78 nucleotides. The record is from Rfam. Lineage: Bacteria; Bacillati; Cyanobacteriota; Cyanophyceae; Oscillatoriales; Microcoleaceae.
AGGAGUGUGAGGAGUGAAGUCUGAAAAGAAAAAGCAUCUGGGGUCGAAACUCGGCCAGACUCCCAGAUGCUUUUUCUA